CCGGUAGCUACGUUCGGACAGGAUAACCGCUGAAAGCAUCUAAGCGGGAAGCCCCCUUCAAGAUAAGUUUUCCCUGGGAAUUUAAUUCCCCUAAAGAGCCGUUAAAGACUAUGACGUUGAUAGGCUGGGUGUGUAAGUGCGGUAACGUAUUGAGCUAACCAGUACUAAUUGCUCGUGAGGCUUAACUAUAUAACGCCCAAG
This 201-nucleotide ribosomal RNA is filed under the name Oleiphilus sp. HI0078. RNAcentral's name for it is "partial 23S ribosomal RNA". It matches the Rfam family "Bacterial large subunit ribosomal RNA", at positions 2742 to 2925 of the family's 2925-position model. Lineage: Bacteria; Pseudomonadati; Pseudomonadota; Gammaproteobacteria; Oceanospirillales; Oleiphilaceae. The record is from RNAcentral.